GACGAACGCUGGCGGCGUGCUUAACACAUGCAAGUCGUACGGUAAGGCCCUUUCGGGGGUACAAGAGUGGCGAACGGGUGCGUAACACGUGUGUAACCUGCCCACAACUUUGGGAUAACGCUAGGAAACUGGUGCUAAUACUGGAUAUGUUCUCCUGCUGCAUGGUGGGGGUUGGAAAGCUCCGGCGGUUGUGGAUGGACUCGCGGCCUAUCAGCUUGUUGGUGGGGUAGUGGCCUACCAAGGCGGCGACGGGUAGCCGGCCUGAGAGGGUGAACGGCCACAUUGGGACUGAGAUACGGCCCAGACUCCGACGGGAGGCAGCAGUGGGGAAUAUUGCACAAGGGGCGCAAGCCUGAUGCAGCAACGCCGCGUGCGGGAGGACGGCCUUCGGGUUGUAAACCGCUUUCAGCAGGGACGAAGCUUUUUGUGACGGUACCUGAAGAAGAAGCACCGGCUAACUACGUG
RNAcentral lists this ribosomal RNA (465 nucleotides) under uncultured bacterium. RNAcentral's name for it is "partial 16S ribosomal RNA". It matches the Rfam family "Bacterial small subunit ribosomal RNA", at positions 28 to 507 of the family's 1533-position model. The record is from RNAcentral.